Molecule: ribosomal RNA, 263 nt
Filed under: uncultured bacterium
Lineage: Bacteria
Description: partial 16S ribosomal RNA
Rfam family: Bacterial small subunit ribosomal RNA
Source: RNAcentral
UGCCUACGGGAGGCAGCAGUGGGGAAUAUUGCACAAUGGGGGAAACCCUGAUGCAGCGACGCCGCGUGAGUGAAGAAGUAAUUCGUUAUGUAAAGCUCUAUCAGCAGGGAAGAAAAUGACGGUACCUGAGUAAGAAGCCCCGGCUAACUACGAGCCAGCAGCCUCGGUAAUACGUAGGGGGCAAGCGUUAUCCGGAUUUACUGGGUGUAAAGGGAGUGUAGACGGCAGUGCAAGUCUGGAGUGCAAGGCGUGGGCUCAACCCC